GAUGAACGCUGGCGGCGUGCCUAAUACAUGCAAGUCGAGCGAACAGACGAGGAGCUUGCUCCUCUGACGUUAGCGGCGGACGGGAGAGUAACACGUGGAUAACCUACCUAUAAGACUGGGAUAACUUCGGGAAACCGGAGCUAAUACCGGAUAAUAUAUUGAACCGCAUGGUUCAAUAGUGAAAGACGGUUUUGCUGUCACUUAUAGAUGGAUCCGCGCCGCAUUAGCUAGUUGGUAAGGUAACGGCUUACCAAGGCAACGAUGCGUAGCCGACCUGAGAGGGUGAUCGGCCACACUGGGACUGAGACACGGUCCAGACUCCUACGGGAGGCAGCAGUAGGGAAUCUUCCGCAAUGGGCGAAAGCCUGACGGAGCAACGCCGCGUGAGUGAUGAAGGUCUUCGGAUCGUAAAACUCUGUUAUUAGGGAAGAACAAAUGUGUAAGUAACUAUGCACGUCUUGACGGUACCUAAUCAGAAAGCCACGGCUAACUACGUG
RNAcentral lists this ribosomal RNA (497 nucleotides) under uncultured bacterium. Its description in RNAcentral is "partial 16S ribosomal RNA". It matches the Rfam family "Bacterial small subunit ribosomal RNA", at positions 28 to 507 of the family's 1533-position model. The record is from RNAcentral.